AGUCGAGCGGUAGCACGGGGAGCUUGCUCCUGGGUGACGAGCGGCGGACGGGUGAGUAAUGUCUGGGGAUCUGCCUGAUGGAGGGGGAUAACUACUGGAAACGGUAGCUAAUACCGCAUAACGUCGCAAGACCAAAGAGGGGGACCUUCGGGCCUCUUGCCAUCAGAUGAACCCAGAUGGGAUUAGCUAGUAGGUGGGGUAAUGGCUCACCUAGGCGACGAUCCCUAGCUGGUCUGAGAGGAUGACCAGCCACACUGGAACUGAGACACGGUCCAGACUCCUACGGGAGGCAGCAGUGGGGAAUAUUGCACAAUGGGCGCAAGCCUGAUGCAGCCAUGCCGCGUGUAUGAAGAAGGCCUUCGGGUUGUAAAGUACUUUCAGCGAGGAGGAAGGCAUUAAGGUUAAUAACCUUGGUGAUUGACGUUACUCGCAGAAGAAGCACCGGCUAACUCCGUGCCAGCAGCCGCGGUAAUACGGAGGGUGCAAGCGUUAAUCGGAAUUACUGGGCGUAAAGCGCACGCAGGCGGUUUGUUAAGUCGGAUGUGAAAUCCCCGGGCUCAACCUGGGAACUGCAUUCGAAACUGGCAAGCUUGAGUCUUGUAGAGGGGGGUAGAAUUCCAGGUGUAGCGGUGAAAUGCGUAGAGAUCUGGAGGAAUACCGGUGGCGAAGGCGGCCCCCUGGACAAAGACUGACGCUCAGGUGCG
RNAcentral lists this ribosomal RNA (704 nucleotides) under uncultured bacterium. RNAcentral describes it as "bacterial SSU rRNA". It matches the Rfam family "Bacterial small subunit ribosomal RNA", at positions 60 to 755 of the family's 1533-position model. The record is from RNAcentral.